UGAGUCACUCUCUCAUAACCGAAGGUGCGUAAUUACGCACUGCACCCUCAAACUUUGUCACACCUCUACUGUAUAUUCCGAAGUGUCAGCACUGUCCCUUAUAUCAACCGCACGACGUGACGUCUCAUGGCGCUCUGAGUCAAUACACAAUACGAGGAAAUCCCCAAGGCCGAGAAAACGACGAGAGGCCCCUUUAAAUCGACGCUUCCUCUGUGUUGUGCCAAGAGAGAGAGAGACAGAGAGACAGAGAGAGCGAGAGAGAAAGAGAAAGAGCUCUGAUAAACAACAACACUGUUCUCAGUCAGAAGCCGCUUUUACCACAUUCAGCUCUUUACUGCGGCCUCGGUGAAGAAGAGGCUACGAGGACUUUCUCUCUGUCAUUUCCAGCAUUCUAUCGUCUGUUGUUCAUACAUUCAUUGUUGAAUGCUAUUGCGGAAGUGAGAAGCUUUUCGACACGACACAAAGCUUGGGCAGUGUGGACAUCUAGCGGCCUACCAGGAGAAGGCGCCCUUCUUAGAGAUGUACGGAGCUUCAGUUAUCCCAGAGCUCAUCCCGGCCAGCGGGCCGCCUCGGCAGCCGGGUCCGGCGGAGCAGUACAACCCGGGACACCCCCAGGUCAACGGUGACGGCGGGGGGACCAACCCUCAGAGGCUUGGGCAGAGGGCACCCAAGCUGGGGCAGAUUGGUCGAACCAAGAAAGUGGACUUGGACGAUGAAGACUUGGAUGACAUCAUGAACAACAAUGGGCAGUGUCCUGUGUCCCUGUCGCCCAUCUCUUAAACUUCACCAAGAAGUGCCAAAAAAAAAAAUCCCCCCAGGACGCCAAAACUCCCCGUCAGUGAUGUUGGCCUUGAUCCUGUCGUGUGUCCUACUGAAGCUUCUGAUGGCUCAACCAGGCACAAAGAACGGCUCAUUUAGCGGCAGCUGAAGCCUAAGCCCUGAUUGUACAUAGUGUUUGUUUAAGUCAGACUGUGAAUGAAUUGUAUUGCAUCGCUCUCUACUCUAUACCUCGGCAGUAGAUUAUCAGGACUCGAGAGAGAUUUGGAGAAAGUGUCUAUAUUUUUCAGAGCUUCUUAAAAAGGGCUACAUUUCUAAAGUUGCACUGAGCGAAUGAUUCGAUGAAAAGCAAGCUUCUCACCUGCCUGUUUUCUGGUGAGAUUGUCUGUGGUUUUGGUUGUGUGAGGGCACACACACGCCUGUUAAUGUGUAACACACAGGUGAAAUGUUAAGCUUUGGUUGUGCAAUGACUAUCAUUCUCUACUCUCACACUGAUGCAAGUGGUGUACUAAUAUCCGGUGGAUGAAAGCUCGCUAUUUACUUAAAAGAAAAAAACUACUGCUAAUUAUUUAUUGUUUUAAAAAAACGAGAAGAAACAUUUUGUUGUGUUGUUAUGGCUUCUACGUGUUUUUUACUUGUUUCUGAAUGGAAAUCGCUUCAGUCAUCUAUAACUGAGAUUUAUUAUGUUUUCAAAUGGUGCACUUUGUGGGAAUGCCUCUUAUGUGCAGUGACAUGUUGCAGAAUUCUAUGCAUGGAGUCUGUUGAAGCAUCAAAACAUGUAAUCGGUAUCCUCUUAUUAAGGGCUAUGUAAUAGUAUUUCCAAACCACAGCACCGUUAUGCUCUUUAGAUCACGCUGAGCCAACAUUUUCCUAAGCUCAUUGUUGGCUUGCGCUGCUGACUCGGCAGAAAAAUAUCGUAAACGACAACAUAUUUAUGGAGGUUUUGUUUUUAAAAAGCAGGGUUUCCCAGUUGGCCAGACAACUGUGAUAAAAGACAUGUACACUUCUAAUUAUUUAAAAUCAAUUGCCAAAUGAUAUUUGACGCUAUAUCAGAUUGAUCAUCGAAAUGGAUUGACAUGUCACAAGGAACUUACUUUGUAUUAAUAUUUAAGGCAGCAAUCUGCUCGUUGAUCUUACACCCUCACGGCGUCAUAGUGUCUUUUCGGGUUUAGGUGAACUCUUUAAUGUCCACCUUUACUUCACAAUUACAGUAUGAGAUAAUGAAAACACGCAGCUCUCUAUGAUUAGCUCUCACUGCUGAGACAAUCUUAACAUGGAGGUUUUUUGUGGUCAUUUGGGUUUUUUAAAGAUUACAGUAGACCUUGAAAUGACACGCUAUUGUCUGUAGAGGCUCAUGCUGAUGUCAUGUUACUUAGUUGGCUGUGAAAUUGUUACUAGUUCACUUUUACUUUUGUUUGCCUCAUGGAAACACUGCAUUUCACAGCCCAUUCUCUGAAUCAAAGAUUGUUGUUUGGGGUAGUGGCUACCAUUUGCAUGGAAAUGGUUUACUUUUCAUAAUGCAUCUCGGGAAAUAAAAGACAAAUCUUUGUGGAAUCUGUUGUUUUCAUGCACUUGUUGCCAAUUUUGUUCUACAACUUCACAUAACUUUUCAUGCAUUGUGUUUUUUUCACCCUGUUCUUUGAACUUUCACACAGAAAGAGUCUUUUUCUGUCUUCUUUGCUACGGAAACAAAAUGUUUCUGUUGUGCUGACUCAUUCAUUGUGAGUCCAUAACUAGUACAUAUGAUUUAAACAUAAAAAACACUCUGCUAUGAAUAAUAUGUUGUGUCUGAUAUGAUAUAAAACUUCUUAGAAUGACCUCUUCC
Molecule: long non-coding RNA, 2602 nt
Filed under: Cottoperca gobio
Lineage: Eukaryota; Metazoa; Chordata; Actinopteri; Perciformes; Bovichtidae
Description: lncRNA (ENSCGOG00000005676.1)
Source: RNAcentral